Molecule: unclassified non-coding RNA, 108 nt
Filed under: Marininema mesophilum
Lineage: Bacteria; Bacillati; Bacillota; Bacilli; Caryophanales; Thermoactinomycetaceae
Source: RNAcentral
AGGGGCCGUAUGCGAGAAAACCGCACGUACAGUCCUGUGAGGGGCAUAAUAAGUUCCUCACGUUAACGCAGUUAACGAAAGGAUGGGAUUUAGAUAUGUCUACUCGAC